GAUGAACGCUGGCGGCGUGCCUAAUACAUGCAAGUCGAGCGAACAGACGAGGAGCUUGCUCCUCUGACGUUAGCGGCGGACGGGUGGGUAACACGUGGAUAACCUACCUAUAAGACUGGGAUAACUUCGGGAAACCGGAGCUAAUACCGGAUAAUAUAUUGAACCGCAUGGUUCAAUAGUGAAAGACGGUUUUGCUGUCACUUAUAGAUGGAUCCGCGCCGCAUUAGCUAGUUGGUAAGGUAACGGCUUACCAAGGCGACGAUGCGUAGCCGACCUGAGAGGGUGAUCGGGCACACUGGAACUGGAACACGGUCCAGACUCCUACGGGAGGCAGCAGUAGGGAAUCUUCCGCAAUGGGCGAAAGCCUGACGGAGCAACGCCGCGUGAGUGAUGAAGGUCUUCGGAUCGUAAAACUCUGUUAUUAGGGAAGAACAAAUGUGUAAGUAACUAUGCACGUCUUGACGGUACCUAAUCAGAAAGCCACGGCUAACUACGUG
Molecule: ribosomal RNA, 497 nt
Filed under: uncultured bacterium
Lineage: Bacteria
Description: partial 16S ribosomal RNA
Rfam family: Bacterial small subunit ribosomal RNA
Source: RNAcentral